This 334-nucleotide ribosomal RNA is filed under the name uncultured eukaryote. RNAcentral describes it as "partial 18S ribosomal RNA". It matches the Rfam family "Eukaryotic small subunit ribosomal RNA", at positions 1470 to 1796 of the family's 1831-position model. The record is from RNAcentral.
CCCUUAGAUGUCCGGGGCCGCACGCGCGCUACACUGAAGGAAUCAGCGUGGCUUUCUCCCUGACCCGAAAGGGUUGGGAAACCCGUUGAAUCUCCUUCGUGAUAGGGAUUGGGGCUUGAAAUUGUUCCCCAUGAACGAGGAAUUCCCAGUAAGCGCGAGUCAUAAGCUCGCGUUGAUUACGUCCCUGCCCUUUGUACACACCGCCCGUCGCUACUACCGAUUGAACGGUUUAGUGAGGGCCUCGGAUUGGCGCCACUGCGGCUCAGCAAUGGGCUCGGUGGAUGCCGAAAAGUUGAUCAAACUUGAUCAUUUAGAGGAAGUAAAAGUCGUAACA